CCCAUUUCUAAUAAUCACUUAUCCCUCUCUUCUGCUAUGGCCAAUGGCCUUAUCAGGCAAUACAACAAAAAAAAACUCACUGCACGGUACUGAAGCUUUCCUCUCCCGUGCUUCUCCCCAGCUGGCUCACAGUAUUCAAAACUUCAAAACAACAGCAGAGGUUGCUACAGCAUAGAGGCUGCUGCAUACUCCAAAAUUUAAAUUCAAAUAUGUUCCUUCACUCUCAUUUCCUUUCAAUUUCCUUUCCAUUCAAACAUAAAGUCUGUUGCGUCGCUCACGUGUAUUACACUCCACCUCAAAUCACUGUUAUCUUCUUCUAAUUUCAAAAUCCAGUUUCAAACCCUAGCAUAUACUCUCUUCCCGUAACGAAUUCUUUCUCUGCUUUAAGCCUUUAUGCCCCUUUCUUAGGGUUUCAAGCACAUCACCGCUGGGAAAUCAAUUCUCUGGUGUAUAUUGGUAUGAUUUUAAGAAAGUGAAGAUGUCACCUUCAGAUAUACAUUUGUUAUGGAUAUUAUUCUUGGGUAAAUUUUCGGUUAUGGAGUAUAUUUUGUAGCAUGCUUUCUAAGUGUUUGAUAAAAUUCCUGACACAAAUUUCUCUUCUUCUUUUUUGCAGAAUCAAUAAUUACUAUAUAACAUAAUGGUGUGAUAUUUUGUUUUAUGAAUUGCAGACGCGAAGAUGAAUGACAGCAAGAAUGAAAGACUGCUACUGUCAAGAUGGUUCACAGCAGUACUACAUAAGGCAGACGGUUGCAAGGUCAUGACAGCAAGUUUGUAUUUGACAGCUACAUUGGUUAAACUCCGCAGACAGCAAGUUUCAGCUAGCAUGACAGCAGAACAUUGGUGUCCCUACCAUUGGUGUAUAUUGGUAUGAUUUUAAGAAAGUGAAGAUGUCACCUUCAGAUAUACAUUUGUUAUGGAUAUUAUUCUUGGGUAAAUUUUCGGUUAUGGAGUAUAUUUUGUAGCAUGCUUUCUAAGUGUUUGAUAAAAUUCCUGACACAAAUUUCUCUUCUUCUUUUUUGCAGAAUCAAUAAUUACUAUAUAACAUAAUGGUGUGAUAUUUUGUUUUAUGAAUUGCAGGUACUUUCUCUGAUAGUUCUUGGUACUUUCUCUCUUUGAUUUAAUUUAAAAACGAUUCAUGUGUAUGCAUAUAUGUCAUUAUAUGAAAGACUUUUUAGGUUCACAUAUAUAAAUCGAGGCAAGAUGAAGAAAGGUGACAGGGUUUAGCAAAUUGAGUUUAGAGGACGCGGGGUUUAAGUGUACCAUUACGGUUUACAUUUGGGAGUAUCACAUGUAAAUAAGUUACAUGAAAGUCGAUGAAAGUAAAAUACAUGCGGCCGUUUGGGUUAGCUUAAAAUUUGACUCUUUGCUUAUCGUAAUGCGUAGAAGUGAGAAGUAAAUUAAUAAAGUGUUUGAAAAAGAAGCAGAAGCUGUGAGAGAUCUCAGCUUAUUAAAAGUGUUUCUAUUUCUUUACACAAACAGAUCAAGAAAAACAUAAGUUAGAAGCAGUUUAUGCUUCUUGCAAACAAACACCACCAUGAAAAAGAAAUAAGAAAUACCAUAUCACAUACAAAUUGCAGAGUUGGGCUUGGCCCGGGAAGUAAGGAACACACCGGUGGGGCUUGCGUCAGACUUGCUCUGGCCUCUGAGGGAUAACAUCCAUCUUACCUCACUAGUCAUCUCAACCAUCUUGCCUAACAAGUCAUCUCAAUCACGAUGCUAACAAACUUGACAUGAAGAUCUUACGAGAACUAGUAUUUCUUCCCGUCUCUUAAUAUUUUUCUUCCAUCUUGUGAUCUUCUAGUACUCCCUUUCUUAAUACUUUGACUCUUUGCUUUUAUUACACAUAUUUUUUAUUGUUAAUUUUUUUUAAUUGUCUAUUAAUAUUAUAUUUAAAAAUUUCACCGUAUUAAAAUACUCAUGAAUAUAAAUCCAACAAGAUCACUUACAACUAUAUUUGAUCUUGUAUAUUAAACAUAAAUUAGUAAUUUGUUUCAUGUUAUGAAUAGUGUCAACAUAUCAAACGAGGAAAGGAAAAAAGAGACGGGGAGUAUGUAAUAGUAGUAUAUAAUUAUUUAAUUACAUGACUAACAGAUUAUGCAAAAACUGAA
Daucus carota subsp. sativus is the source of this 2108-nucleotide long non-coding RNA. RefSeq lists it as uncharacterized. Lineage: Eukaryota; Viridiplantae; Streptophyta; Magnoliopsida; Apiales; Apiaceae. The record is from RefSeq and is a predicted model, not a curated record. The transcript is spliced from 3 exons.